AAAUUGAAGAGUUUGAUCAUGGCUCAGAUUGAACGCUGGCGGCAGGCCUAACACAUGCAAGUCGAACGGUAACAGGAAUCAGCUUGCUGAUUCGCUGACGAGUGGCGGACGGGUGAGUAAUGUCUGGGAAACUGCCUGAUGGAGGGGGAUAACUACUGGAAACGGUAGCUAAUACCGCAUAA
RNAcentral lists this ribosomal RNA (182 nucleotides) under Escherichia coli. Its description in RNAcentral is "partial 16S ribosomal RNA". It matches the Rfam family "Bacterial small subunit ribosomal RNA", at positions 1 to 176 of the family's 1533-position model. RNAcentral also lists the same sequence under 3 other names. The record is from RNAcentral. Lineage: Bacteria; Pseudomonadati; Pseudomonadota; Gammaproteobacteria; Enterobacterales; Enterobacteriaceae.